Molecule: transfer RNA, 73 nt
Filed under: Caudoviricetes sp.
Lineage: Duplodnaviria; Heunggongvirae; Uroviricota; Caudoviricetes
Description: tRNA-Gln
Rfam family: tRNA
About the family: Transfer RNA (tRNA) molecules are approximately 80 nucleotides in length. Their secondary structure includes four short double-helical elements and three loops (D, anti-codon, and T loops).
Source: RNAcentral
AGGGCUAUCGCCAAGUGGUAAAGGCAUGGGACUUUGACUCCCACAUACGAGGGUUCAAAUCCCUCUAGCCCCG